UACGUAGGGGGCUAGCGUUGUCCGGAAUCAUUGGGCGUAAAGCGCGCGUAGGCGGCCCGGUAAGUCCGUUGUGAAAGUCAAAGGCUCAACCUUUGAAAGCCGAUGGAUACUGCCGGGCUAGAGUCCGGAAGAGGAGAGUGGAAUUCCUGGUGUAGCGGUGAAAUGCGCAGAUAUCAGGAAGAACACCUAUGGCGAAGGCAGCUCUCUGGGACGGUACUGACGCUGAGACGCGAAAGCGUGGGGAGCGAACAGG
This 253-nucleotide ribosomal RNA is filed under the name uncultured bacterium. RNAcentral describes it as "partial 16S ribosomal RNA". It matches the Rfam family "Bacterial small subunit ribosomal RNA", at positions 524 to 776 of the family's 1533-position model. The record is from RNAcentral.